UUUUUUCAUUGGAUUGUCGUA
Molecule: non-coding RNA, 21 nt
Filed under: Caenorhabditis elegans
Lineage: Eukaryota; Metazoa; Nematoda; Chromadorea; Rhabditida; Rhabditidae
Source: RNAcentral